RNAcentral lists this ribosomal RNA (207 nucleotides) under uncultured bacterium. RNAcentral describes it as "partial 16S ribosomal RNA". It matches the Rfam family "Bacterial small subunit ribosomal RNA", at positions 568 to 774 of the family's 1533-position model. The record is from RNAcentral.
CGCGUAGGCGGCAAGGCAAGUCAGAUGUGAAAUCCCCGGGCUCAACCUGGGAAUUGCAUCUGAAACUGCAGUGCUUGAGUCCUGGAGGGGAUAGUGGAAUUCCCAGUGUAGCGGUGAAAUGCGUAGAUAUUGGGAGGAACACCUGCGGCGAAGGCGGCUAUCUGGACAGUGACUGACGCUGAUGUGCGAAAGCCAGGGGAGCGAACG